RNAcentral lists this ribosomal RNA (252 nucleotides) under uncultured bacterium. Its description in RNAcentral is "partial 16S ribosomal RNA". It matches the Rfam family "Bacterial small subunit ribosomal RNA", at positions 524 to 776 of the family's 1533-position model. The record is from RNAcentral.
UACGUAGGGGCUAGCGUUGUCCGGAAUCACUGGGCGUAAAGGGCGCGUAGGCGGCUUCUUAAGCGUGUGGUGAAAGCUCAGGGCUCAACUCUGAGUCGGCCAUGCGAACUGGGAGGCUUGAGCACUGUAGAGGCAGGUGGAAUUCCGGGUGUAGCGGUGGAAUGCGUAGAGAUCCGGAAGAACACCGGUGGCGAAGGCGGCCUGCUGGGCAGUAGCUGACGCUGAGGCGCGACAGCGUGGGGAGCAAACAGG